AGCGAAGCUAUUAAUAUUAAUUAAAUUAAUAUUAAGUGAACUAUGUUCAUUAAAAUUCUAGAUAAAAGUAUGAUAAUGACAUUUUUUAUCUAUAAGUCUUGACCAAGUCAUGUGCCAGCAGUCGCGGUAAUACAUGGAAGACUAGUGUUAUUCAUCUUUAAUAGGUUUAAAGGGUACCUAGACAGUUAAUAAAGCCUAAUAAAGGAACUAAUUAACUAGAGUUUGAUAUGAAAAGGUAGUACAAGGAGUGUAGAGAUAAAAUUUUGUGAUCCCUUUUGGAACUGUCAAAGGCGAAGGCGACCUUUUAUGUAAAAACUGACGUUGAGGGACGAAGGCUCGAUAAACGAAUAGGAUUAGAUACCCUAGUAAUGUGGGCNGAAAAUGAUGAANGUGAUAUGUAAGUAAUAAUUUACGUAUAAAUGAAAGUGUAAACAUUCCACCUCANGAGUAAUGCGGCAACGCAUAAACUGAAAUCAUUAGACCGUUUCUGAAACCAGUAGUGAAGUAUGUUGUUUAAUUUGAUGAUCCACGGAAAACCUUACCACAAUUUGAAUAUUUAUAUUUAUAUAUUUAUACAAGAGUUGCACGGNUGUCUUC
Molecule: ribosomal RNA, 597 nt
Filed under: Absconditella sp. SW048
Lineage: Eukaryota; Fungi; Ascomycota; Lecanoromycetes; Ostropales; Stictidaceae
Description: SSU rRNA
Rfam family: Bacterial small subunit ribosomal RNA
Source: RNAcentral